CCUACGGGAGGCAGCAGUGAGGAAUAUUGGUCAAUGGGCGAGAGCCUGAACCAGCCAAGUCGCGUGAGGGAAGACGGUCCUAUGGAUUGUAAACCUCUUUUGCCGGGGAGCAAAAAGAGGUAAGUGUACCGCAUCGAGAGUACCCGGAGAAAAAGCAUCGGCUAACUCCGUGCCAGCAGCCGCGGUAAUACGGAGGAUGCGAGCGUUAUCCGGAUUUAUUGGGUUAAAAGGGUGCGCAGGCGGCGAGUUAAGUCAGCGGUAAAAUUUCGGGGCUCAAACCCGACGAGCCGUUGAAACUGGCGUGCUAGAGUGGGCGAGAAGUAUGCGGAAUGCGUGGUGUAGCGGUGAAAUGCAUAGAUAUCACGCAGAACUACGAUUGCGAAGGCAGCAUACCGGCGCCCAACUGACGCUCAGGCACGAAAGCGUGGGUAUCGAACAGGAUUAGAUACCCCAGUAGUC
Molecule: ribosomal RNA, 459 nt
Filed under: uncultured bacterium
Lineage: Bacteria
Description: partial 16S ribosomal RNA
Rfam family: Bacterial small subunit ribosomal RNA
Source: RNAcentral